CUUUGCUUUAGUGAGAUAUCAUUUACGUGGCUGACACCACUUUGAAACUCAAAAAGGGCUGUUCGUUUCAUUGAUGCAGGUUCAUGCGACUGCGGCAAUUUUUUUCAAAAUUCUUGUUCGUUUGAUUGACGCCGAGACCUGCGUCUAACCGCCGCGUCUGACGCCGAGACCUGCGUUUGACGUCGUAAAAUUCUGCGGUCGCGACGUAAGUUAUGCGUCUGUUUAAGCUAUUUACAAUUAUAUCCUUAAUCUA
RNAcentral lists this long non-coding RNA (253 nucleotides) under Brassica napus (rape). RNAcentral describes it as "long non-coding RNA (BNAP_LNC014392)". The record is from RNAcentral. Lineage: Eukaryota; Viridiplantae; Streptophyta; Magnoliopsida; Brassicales; Brassicaceae.